AGGGAAAUAAUUUAAUUGGUAAAAUAUUGGUCUUCAAAAUCAAUUUUAAAGGUUCAAGUCCUUUUUUCCCUG
Molecule: transfer RNA, 72 nt
Filed under: Coemansia sp. RSA 552
Lineage: Eukaryota; Fungi; Kickxellomycota; Kickxellomycetes; Kickxellales; Kickxellaceae
Description: tRNA-Sec
Rfam family: tRNA
About the family: Transfer RNA (tRNA) molecules are approximately 80 nucleotides in length. Their secondary structure includes four short double-helical elements and three loops (D, anti-codon, and T loops).
Source: RNAcentral